AACAGGAAGUAGCUUCGCAUCUAAUGAGAAGUGAUACGCGCAACCUUGUUUUAUGCUUGCUCGAACUGAAGAGAUCUCUUGGAAGAUAAAUGUUGUGUUGCACAUGGAACUUAAUAUAGAACAAAGUAAUGAUAGUUAACCACUUAAUUAGCAGUAAAAAACCAGUCUACACUGUACUGAAAUAUAAAGGUUUAACCACUUAAUUAGCAGUAAAAAAUAGUCUACGCUGUACUGAAAUAUAAAGGUGGGAACCUGGAUGGCUGUACCUUUUUCACGAUGAUCAUUUGGCAUACUUCUCUGAAGAGAACAAACUAAGGAACCAAUGGAGCUACCACAUAAAACAGUGAAAGAAAAUAGGAAGAAAAUAAGCUAGGAUGUGAUCCUGACAUGGCCAUCAGACUUUGUGGCGAUGUUGACAGUUUCUUACAACAUAUGUUUGGUUUGUUUCCACUACAAGGCAAAGCAAGGGAAAAGAACAGGUAAAUCUUGUGUGGCUGUGUGAUGCAUUUCUUGUUGGUAUACGACUAUGACGGUAUUACCGAAUAUUAUUUAUCUUUUACCUUUCUGAAUCUUGUAGCACAACAGAAACAUGAUUUUGUGCUAUUGAAUAAUGCCUCUAUUAGUUUUGAUGGAUUUAGUGAUGAUUUGUUGAUUAUGGUAGUGGGGAUUUGGAGAGAAUCAAGAAGUUGCCACAUGAACUGUCAUUUAUCUCUCUAACUUCCAUUUAGUAAAAUUUCUAUUUCUGAUGUUCUACUCUUUCUGAAUUUUUAUGUGGUGCAUUGUGAAGAUCCUUCUCUGCUACAGGAGAACCUGAGAUGCAACAUCAACGUGGUGGUCAUAUAUCAGAAAGGCAAGUUCUUAUGAAAGGAAGGUACCAUACCAAUACCUUGAUUCCCAUUGGGCUGCAAAUCUGCUGCUUUGGUGUUCCUCCAGUCAGUGUGAAUGGCUGUUUGUAGGUCAACAUCUCCGGCGGCAGGCCAACGGGCACCAUCUCGAGCCAUAGAACCUGCAUGAGAGACAAGAAACACAAGGUCCAUUAUGAGUCUGUACUAGGAUUGAAGUAGGAAGCUGCCAGAGGUGUGUAAUUCAUGUACGGUGAGUGCUUUGCUUGGAUCAAUUGUAUGUACCCCCUGAGUUUUUAGAUUCAUAGCAGUUGACUGAUCUUAAUGUGGGGUGCUAUUUCAGUUAUAAAUGUUCUUUUCCUGAUGUACAUGAAUGGUACUUUCUGAUUUGGCAAUGAAUAGUUU
This is a long non-coding RNA of Triticum dicoccoides, 1247 nucleotides long. RefSeq lists it as uncharacterized. NCBI's taxonomy places the organism in Eukaryota, Viridiplantae, Streptophyta, Magnoliopsida, Poales, Poaceae. The record is from RefSeq and is a predicted model, not a curated record. The transcript is spliced from 3 exons.